CACUCCACAGGCAGUAGGGAGGUGAGGGUUAGUUUCCCUAGACAGACAGACAUAUCCUCUAGCUAUCUCCUCUACUGAGCCAAACAUUCCCAGACAGUUAAGGAAGUUGUUAUAAGAAUCCUAAAAUUUCUUGAGUGUCUAUUAAACACCUAGUACAAGGAUUUCAUGUAAGGACUUAUUUACUCACAAUAAACCCCAAGAGAAGAGACACAGCAUUGCUCCCAUUUCACAGAUAGGAAAAUAGGAAUGGGGAUGGCAAAGAUGGCAGUCAUCUACAUGCUUUGCCUGCACUGGUGGCUCUUUUUCUGCUCCCUCUGCCGAGUUGUGAUGCAGCCAGAUGGCAGCACCAAGGUUGCUAGGCUUUCAAGGAUUGAAUCAGAACCAUGAGCCAAGUAAGUCUCCUUUGUUUGUCCUUUAUUUGGCACUGUGUGCUUUGUUGGAGCCCACACAACUCACCAAGACACUGUUCCAAUGCGAGUCUGCCAAAGUAGGGAAGCCCCACACGUCUGGAAUCCACACUCCGACCUGGGAGGAUACUGGAGAAACGAGCAGGAUUCAGAGGCCUUCAGAGGAGGAGGGGGAGACCACAGCAGAUACAGAGCACACGUGUCCCUGUCUCCUCCCUGGGCUCUGUGCCCACCAGAGCUUAGCUGCUUCUCCCCGUUGGCAAGGACAGUUGAAUCAAAGACAGAAGAUGGAGAAACAGAAAAACUCUCUACCCAAAGCAAGACAUGUUUGUUCAUAAAGGUGUCCCUCUCCUGUCCACCAAGAAGGGCAGAAUUCAUCUCUGGAGGCGACUAUGGACCGUCCUCAAUGUGGACAGUGGUGGAAGCUCACAUAACUCCUUCUGGUACUUUCUGACUAGUCAUCUUAAAGCCCUUUAAGAUGCCUUACUCAGGCUUUGUUGCAUAGAUAGGCCUGCAGGCCCAGGGAUUUGAAGAGGCUGAGGAAGGAAGAUCACAAAUUUAAGGGCAGCUCAAGCUCCAGAGCCAGUUCAAGGCCAGACAAGAGUACAUGAGGACCUGGGCACACACCUCAGCAUCCAUUCACAGAAUCCUGUACAGUAGUACACACUUGUGAUCCCAGCACUGAGGUGAGACCAUGGAGGUACCUGGGUUUGCCCAUCUAGCUUAGCCUAACCAGGUGAGCCCCAGGCCAGGAGGAGACUCCAUCUCAAACAACUGUGGGCAGCAUGGAAGGAGGAGCCAAGCCCGAGUUUGUUCUAUUUCCAUGCAAAUAUACACAUCGCCUAUCAGCCUUGGUCAUGCCAUUUUGAAGUCUCUCCCUUUGGGUUAAGUGAUGGCAAUUUCCACCACAGAAGUCAGCACUGCAGACUUGGUUUCCUGGAUCCUGCCCUGCCCCUGCAUCCCUCUGAUGAUGGCUGAUCAGGAGGGAUGCUUAUCCAUCACCGGAUGUUUGCUCAUUUGCUGCUCACUGUUCUUUGGUCACUCCUGCCAGUGGCCAAUCUGGAACUGGAAAGGACUAAUAACAGCCUCCUUCCCAGCCUCUCCACCUUCUGCCCUGUAAUUACUUUAGCUUGUAAGCAGACGUCAGACCCUGAUUCUUAUACCGAUGCACUCUGUCUUCUCCCAGAUUAAAAGCCUGCAUUGUAUUAAGUCGUUGGUUUCCGUGUCUGUCUCUCACCACAGAUAAACAUGCACAAAACAAAGAAGCAAAAGCGAUCAAGCAAAACCUCAAGGUUUACCCCCACUUCCUCCAGCGAGGCUCUGCCUCCUAAAGGUUCUGCAUCUUAUCGAAACAGCACGCCAUCUGGGAACCAAAUGUUCAAACACACGAACCUGUCGGGGCAUUUUGCACUCCAACCACACAUCCCCAGAUCCAGGGCCAUGCUUCUUUGCCAUCCGAGUUCACAGCUACAUUCCAUAUUUCUAGUCCUCUAUAGCAAACAGACCUUUACAGAGUAUGUGUUGCCUGGUUUUGUGUUAACGUGACACAAGCUACAGUCAUCAGAGAGAACAGAGACUCAAUUGAGAAAAUGCCUCAAGAUUGGGCUAUAGGCAAGCUUGUAGAACAUUUUCUUAAUUAGUGAUUGAUGGAGGAGGGCCCAGCCCAUUGUGGGUGGGGACAUUCCUGGGCAGGUGGUCCUGGGUUCUAUAAGAAAGCAGGUUGAGCAAGCCAUGGGGAGGAGGCAGUAAGCAGCACCCUCCUUGGCCUCUGUGUCAGCUGCUGCCUCUGGGUCCCUGCCCUGCUUGAGCUGUUGCUUUUGAUGAUGAAUUUUAGAUGGAACUGUGAGUGAAGUAAACCCUUUCCUCCCCAAAUUGCCUUUGGUCGUGAUGUUUCAUCACAGAAAUAGUCACCCUAACUAAGACUGAGGGUCUCAUUGUAAAAGAGUUGGCACGACCAAGAAACCUCGUUUUUUAAAAUAUACUUAAUUUCUCUAUCUCUGUCUCUCUGUCUCUUUCACGGUCUUUCUCUGUCUGUUUGUUUCUGUCUCUCUCUGUCUCUGUUUCUGUCUGUCUGUCUCUGUCUCUGUCUCUGUCUGUCUGUCUGUUUCUGUCUCUCUCUGUCUCUGUCUGUUUCUGUCUCUCCGUCUCUGUCUGUUUCUGUCUCCCUGUCUGUUUGUUGGUCUCUGUUUCUCUGUCCUCCCCCUCCCCUGUAGAUAUGUGCAUACCACACCACAUGUGUGGAUGUCAGAGAACAACUCUUGGAAGCCAGUUCUCUCCUUCUACUCUAGGCCUGAUGCUUACUUUGUGAGAUAUUAAAGUGGCUGCAGUAAAUGACCCAAUGCCUCUUAGCUUGUCUUUCAACCAAGAUACUGACUCCCGUUAUUGGUGAGAGUUUCCACAUAAGUUUUUGUUUU
This is a long non-coding RNA of Mus musculus (house mouse), 2821 nucleotides long. RefSeq annotates it as predicted gene, 39676. NCBI's taxonomy places the organism in Eukaryota, Metazoa, Chordata, Mammalia, Rodentia, Muridae. The transcript has 3 exons. The record is from RefSeq and is a predicted model, not a curated record.